GAUGAACGCUGGCGGCGUGCCUAAUACAUGCAAGUCGAGCGAACAGACGAGGAGCUUGCUCCUCUGACGUUAGCGGCGGACGGGUGAGUAACACGUGGAUAACCUACCUAUAAGACUGGGAUAACUUCGGGAAACCGGAGCUAAUACCGGAUAAUAUAUUGAACCGCAUGGUUCAAUAGUGAAAGACGGUUUUGCUGUCACUUAUAGAUGGAUCCGCGCCGCAUUAGCUAGUUGGUAAGGUAACGGCUUACCAAGGCAACGAUGCGUAGCCGACCUGAGAGGGUGAUCGGCCACACUGGAACUGAGACACGGACCAGACUCCUAAGGGAGGCAGCAGUAGGGAAUCUUCCGCAAUGGGCGAAAGCCUGACGGAGCAACGCCGCGUGAGUGAUGAAGGUCUUCGGAUCGUAAAACUCUGUUAUUAGGGAAGAACAAAUGUGUAAGUAACUAUGCACGUCUUGACGGUACCUAAUCAGAAAGCCACGGCUAACUACGUG
RNAcentral lists this ribosomal RNA (497 nucleotides) under uncultured bacterium. RNAcentral describes it as "partial 16S ribosomal RNA". It matches the Rfam family "Bacterial small subunit ribosomal RNA", at positions 28 to 507 of the family's 1533-position model. The record is from RNAcentral.